RNAcentral lists this ribosomal RNA (501 nucleotides) under uncultured bacterium. RNAcentral's name for it is "partial 16S ribosomal RNA". It matches the Rfam family "Bacterial small subunit ribosomal RNA", at positions 30 to 523 of the family's 1533-position model. The record is from RNAcentral.
AUUGAACGCUGGCGGCAGGCUUAACACAUGCAAGUCGAGCGGGGGAAGUUGCUUCGGUAACUGACCUAGCGGCGGACGGGUGAGUAAUGCUUAGGAAUCUGCCUAUUAGCGGGGGACAACAUUUCGAAAGGGAUGCUAAUACCGCAUACGCCCUAAGGGGGAAAGCAGGGGAUCUUCGGACCUUGCGCUAAUAGAUGAGCCUAAGUCGGAUUAGCUAGUUGGUGGGGUAAAGGCCUUCCAAGGCGACGAUCUGUAGCGGGUCUGAGAGGAUGAUCCGCCACACUGGGACUGAGACACGGCCCAGACUCCUACGGGAGGCAGCAGUGGGGAAUAUUGGACAAUGGGGGGAACCCUGAUCUAGCCAUGCCGCGUGUGUGAAGAAGGCCUUUUGGUUGUAAAGCACUUUAAGCGAGGAGGAGGCUACUGGUAUUAAUACUACUGGAUAGUGGACGUUACUCGCAGAAUAAGCACCGGCUAACUCUGUGCCAGCAGCCGCCGUAA